Long non-coding RNA from Melopsittacus undulatus (budgerigar), 453 nucleotides. RefSeq lists it as uncharacterized. The transcript is spliced from 3 exons. NCBI's taxonomy places the organism in Eukaryota, Metazoa, Chordata, Aves, Psittaciformes, Psittaculidae. The record is from RefSeq and is a predicted model, not a curated record.
UUAGAGCUGUGAGCACUAUAUAAGGAAAGCAAGAGAGAAAAAAAGUCACAUUUCAAGGAAUGAGAGAGAAAAGGCUGGAUUUACUGGCAAAAGCACCUGAGCUUCUGAAGAAACAAAGGGAGAAACCAGUUAAGUUAGAAGAAAACCCUGAAGCUACUUUUUAGAUGCCAGACUUGGUACUAGGAGGGAAAAGAAUUAGAGAUGAAGAUGCUGAAGUUUGGACUUGGACUCAGAGACCCAUUCUCAGCAGAAUGAGGCUGGCAGGAAAACUGCCAGGGACAGAAGAAAACCACAAGCCCCUGACUUCUCAUGCCCUAAGCAGCAACCAAACCAGGACCCUCCCCAUCAGCUUACUAAAAAUCUUGCCCAGAACUCCGAGGACACCAACCAUUUUGCUUAUACAUCUGCCUUUGAAGUAUGAAAGUGUCAAAAGCAGUAGUCCCUGAUUAAAAA